Molecule: ribosomal RNA, 301 nt
Filed under: uncultured bacterium
Lineage: Bacteria
Description: partial 16S ribosomal RNA
Rfam family: Bacterial small subunit ribosomal RNA
Source: RNAcentral
CAGCAGCCGCGGGAAAACGUAGGGUGCGAGCGUUAAUCGGAAUUACUAGGCGUAAAGCGUGCGCAGGCGGUUGUGUAAGACAGGUGUGAAAUCCCCGGGCUUAACCUGGGAACUGCGCUUGUGACUGCACAGCUAGAGUAUGGCAGAGGGGGGUGGAAUUCCACGUGUAGCAGUGAAAUGCGUAGAGAUGUGGAGGAACACCGAUGGCGAAGGCAGCCCCCUGGGCCAAUACUGACGCUCAUGCACGAAAGCGUGGGGAGCAAACAGGAUUAGAUACCCCCGUAGUCCCUGUCUCUUAUAC